UACGUAGGGGGCGAGCGUUGUCCGGAUUUAUUGGGCGUAAAGAGCGUGUAGGCGGUUCGGUAAGUCUGUCGUGAAAUCCUGAGGCUCAACCUCGGGCGUGCGAUGGAUACUGCCGGGCUAGAGGAUGGUAGAGGCGAGUGGAAUUCCCGGUGUAGCGGUGAAAUGCGCAGAUAUCAGGAAGAACACCUAUGGCGAAGGCAGCUCUCUGGGACGGUACUGACGCUGAGACGCGAAAGCGUGGGGAGCGAACAGG
Molecule: ribosomal RNA, 253 nt
Filed under: uncultured bacterium
Lineage: Bacteria
Description: partial 16S ribosomal RNA
Rfam family: Bacterial small subunit ribosomal RNA
Source: RNAcentral